UGGGGAAUAUUGCACAAUAGGCGCAAGCCUGAUGCAGCGACGCCGCGUGAGGGAUGACGGCCUUCGGGUUGUAAACCUCUUUCAAUAGGGACGAAGCGCAAGUGACGGUACCUAUAGAAGAAGGACCGGCCAACUACGUGCCAGCAGCCGCGGUAAUACGUAGGGUCCGAGCGUUGUCCGGAAUUACUGGGCGUAAAGAGCUCGUAGGUGGUUUGUCGCGUUGUUCGAUGAAAACUCACAGCUUAACUGUGGGCGUGCGGGCGAUACGGGCAGACUAGAGUACUGCAGGGGAGACUGGAAUUCCUGGUGUAGCGGUGGAAUGCGCAGAUAUCAGGAGGAACACCGGUGGCGAAGGCGGGUCUCUGGGCAGUAACUGACGCUGAGGAGCGAAAGCGUGGGGAGCGAACAGGAUUAGAUACCCUGGUAGUCCACGCCGUAAACGGUGGGUACUAGGUGUGGGUUUCCUUCCUUGGGAUCCGUGCCGUAGCUAACGCAUUAAGUACCCCGCCUGGGGAGUACGGCCGCAAGGCUAAAACUUAAAUGAAUUGACGGGGUCAUAGCUGUUUUCCU
RNAcentral lists this ribosomal RNA (570 nucleotides) under uncultured bacterium. Its description in RNAcentral is "partial 16S ribosomal RNA". It matches the Rfam family "Bacterial small subunit ribosomal RNA", at positions 355 to 1375 of the family's 1533-position model. The record is from RNAcentral.